RNAcentral lists this ribosomal RNA (299 nucleotides) under uncultured bacterium. RNAcentral's name for it is "partial 16S ribosomal RNA". It matches the Rfam family "Bacterial small subunit ribosomal RNA", at positions 1052 to 1347 of the family's 1533-position model. The record is from RNAcentral.
AUGUCAGUUCUCAUUUUGAAAUGUCAAAUUUAGUCUUACAUCGAGCAAGAAGCCCACUUCUUGUUGUUUAUCGUCUCUCGGGAGGCGGUGCACUCUAGAAAGACUGCCGGUGUUAAACCGGAGGAAGGUGGGGAUCACGUCAAGUCAUCAUGGCCCUUAAGUUCAGGGCUACACACGUGUUACAAUGGCAGGUACAAAGGGACCCGACCCCGCAAGGGGAAGCCAAUCCCACAAACCCUGUCUUAGUUCGGAUGAGGUCUGAACUCGCCUCGUGAAGUGGAAUUCGCUAGUAAUCGCGG